CUACUCAUAAUCUUCGACAAAUGAUUUGCCUCUCAAGCUCAAGAAACGAACUCGGUCGACUGCCUUUGUUCUCCUACUGAGCGCGGGCAAGCACUGAUGGUCGUUUACGGAGAUUCUUUCCGUAAUCAUCCCUGAUCCUCGCCACAUGGCGUAGUGCUGACGCCUUCAUCACAUUUUGGUGUACAGUCAUGUACCGGUGAUAACCAGUGCAGUUUCCAGAUAUUUGUUUGUUUGUUUGCAGUUAUGAUUUUGACGCUGUGGAAGUAACUAUUUUAGUUGGACUGAAACUGACAGGACACGGUGACAUAAGUCGUGGCUACCUUUCUGCCAGUGUUGAGAAGCACAAUGCCAGCUCAGUCAGUUUCUGGCCACUGGAUCAGGCUUGUUUUGCUUGCCAUGGCUGCUGCCCUGUGCACUGAAGCUGCACCCAUCAAGGGUAGCGAUAUUUGUACUAUACUAGGUACUGGCCUCACUGGGAACUUGUGCCAGGUUCAUUCUGUGUGCCAGCCCAGUCCUGCAAGGAAAACAUGGUAUGAGUGCCGAUGUGUGGCUGGCUAUAUCCCUACACCAGACAUGGAUAGGUUAGGAUACCAGCUUUGUAUUCCAAUGCCAACGCCAACUACCCCAACGCCCAAACCGUCUACUCUUCCACCAACUACUAGUAGCAUGCCAACGACUCUGCCAACUACUACACCGCCACAAACUUCAGAAGUGACACGGCGACGACGGCGUAGACGGCGAAGGCGAAGAACCAGAGCUACUCGUGUGCCAACAACAAUUGAACCACCAACUACAUCUGUGUCCCGUAACGAGGAUGGACAAUAGACUGUGUUGCUGUGCCUAAUGGCCUAGCCGUUCAGCGAGCAAUGAACAUUAUCGGAUAUGCGUCACCAGCGCCGCCAUCCAAUCGCGCCUGCGGAGUGGCCUCCUGCCUUCAUCAUUUUUCUUAAAAUUAACUAAUUUUUACAAACAGGCUCCGUCACUUCAUGACCAUUUUGCUCAUCGAUUUUGUCUUCACUCCGCAAACUCCAAGAUCAAUGGAAUAGCAUUUGAAUUAUAUACUAGUAGCCAAGAAUUCUUUUAUAUUAGCCAUCAAUUAUUUAUCGAUGAUGAAUACUGACAUAGAAAAUCAUAUGCUUCGAAACCUGCUCUGUAAUAGGAAAUUCAAUAAAUAUACUUCGGGUCAAUAUGA
Long non-coding RNA from Sycon ciliatum, 1192 nucleotides. RefSeq lists it as uncharacterized. Lineage: Eukaryota; Metazoa; Porifera; Calcarea; Leucosolenida; Sycettidae. The record is from RefSeq and is a predicted model, not a curated record. The transcript has 2 exons.